GAGCGUUCUGUAAGCCUGUGAAGGUGUGUCGUGAGGCAUGCUGGAGGUAUCAGAAGUGCGAAUGCUGACAUAAGUAACGAUAAAGCGGGUGAAAAGCCCGCUCGCCGGAAGACCAAGGGUUCCUGUCCAACGUUAAUCGGGGCAGGGUGAGUCGACCCCUAAGGCGAGGCCGAAAGGCGUAGUCGAUGGGAAACGGGUUAAUAUUCCCGUACUUGGUGUUACUGCGAAGGGGGGACGGAGAAGGCUAUGUUGGCCGGGCGACGGUUGUCCCGGUUUAAGCGUGUAGGUGUGUGUUCCAGGUAAAUCCGGUUCACUUUAACACUGAGGCGUGACGACGAGGCACUACGGUGCUGAAGCAACAAAUGCCCUGCUUCCAGGAAAAGCCUCUAAGCAUCAGGUAACAUCAAAUCGUACCCCAAACCGACACAGGUGGUCAGGUAGAGAAUACCAAGGCGCUUGAGAGAACUCGGGUGAAGGAACUAGGCAAAAUGGUGCCGUAACUUCGGGAGAAGGCACGCUGACACGUAGGUGAAGUGAUUUACUCAUGGAGCUGAAGUCAGUCGAAGAUACCAGCUGGCUGCAACUGUUUAUUAAAAACACAGCACUGUGCAAACACGAAAGUGGACGUAUACGGUGUGACGCCUGCCCGGUGCCGGAAGGUUAAUUGAUGGGGUCAGCGCAAGCGAAGCUCCUGAUCGAAGCCCCGGUAAACGGCGGCCGUAACUAUAACGGUCCUAAGGUAGCGAAAUUCCUUGUCGGGUAAGUUCCGACCUGCACGAAUGGCGUAAUGAUGGCCAGGCUGUCUCCACCCGAGACUCAGUGAAAUUGAACUCGCUGUGAAGAUGCAGUGUACCCGCGGCAAGACGGAAAGACCCCGUGAACCUUUACUAUAGCUUGACACUGAACAUUGAGCCUUGAUGUGUAGGAUAGGUGGGAGGCUUUGAAGUGUGGACGCCAGUCUGCAUGGAGCCGACCUUGAAAUACCACCCUUUAAUGUUUGAUGUUCUAACGUGGACCCGUGAUCCGGGUUGCGGACAGUGUCUGGUGGGUAGUUUGACUGGGGCGGUCUCCUCCUAAAGAGUAACGGAGGAGCACGAAGGUUGGCUAAUCCUGGUCGGACAUCAGGAGGUUAGUGCAAUGGCAUAAGCCAGCUUGACUGCGAGCGUGACGGCGCGAGCAGGUGCGAAAGCAGGUCAUAGUGAUCCGGUGGUUCUGAAUGGAAGGGCCAUCGCUCAACGGAUAAAAGGUACUCCGGGGAUAACAGGCUGAUACCGCCCAAGAGUUCAUAUCGACGGCGGUGUUUGGCACCUCGAUGUCGGCUCAUCACAUCCUGGGGCUGAAGUAGGUCCCAAGGGUAUGGCUGUUCGCCAUUUAAAGUGGUACGCGAGCUGGGUUUAGAACGUCGUGAGACAGUUCGGUCCCUAUCUGCCGUGGGCGCUGGAGAACUGAGGGGGGCUGCUCCUAGUACGAGAGGACCGGAGUGGACGCAUCACUGGUGUUCGGGUUGUCAUGCCAAUGGCACUGCCCGGUAGCUAAAUGCGGAAGAGAUAAGUGCUGAAAGCAUCUAAGCACGAAACUUGCCCCGAG
This 1587-nucleotide ribosomal RNA is filed under the name Salmonella enterica. RNAcentral describes it as "partial 23S ribosomal RNA". It matches the Rfam family "Bacterial large subunit ribosomal RNA", at positions 1234 to 2803 of the family's 2925-position model. The record is from RNAcentral. Lineage: Bacteria; Pseudomonadati; Pseudomonadota; Gammaproteobacteria; Enterobacterales; Enterobacteriaceae.